UACAAACAAAAAAGAUUAUAAUGAUUAUAACUAUGAAUAUAUUUUUUCUGAUACUUUUAUGUUAUUUCAUUCUUAUUUAUUAUAUACAAAUAGUUAUAAUUUAAAUAGUGAAAAAGGGUUAAUAAAUAAUAAAAAAAAACAAAGAAAAACAUUUGAACAUAUUAAUAAAUUAUAUAGUAAUAUAAGAAAUCAUAAUAAAAAUUUAACCAUAAAUGAAACGAAUCCAUAUUUAUCUAUUUAUGUGUUAAAUUUGAUUAGUAAUUUAGAGUAUAAAAUUGUUAACAGAACAAAUCCUUACCCACCUAGUGAUAGUGUUAGAACAUUUGAUAACGCUAGAACUGGUAAGAACAACAGGUUGGAUAAUAAAUGGAAAAUACGAUUUAUAAAAAAUACCCAAUACAAAGGAAAAAAUAGUUAUUUAUUAAAAAAUAUUUUAAAGUUAUAUCAUAAUGAGUUAAUGGAACAAAAAAAGAAACACACGGGUAGUGGUAGUGUUAGAAAUUGUAGCGGUAGUGGUAGAGGUAAUGGUAGUGGUAGUGGUAAUGGUAGUGGUAGUGGUAGUGGUAGUGGUAACGAUAAUAAUAAUAGUAAUAAUAAUGACAAUAAUAAUGACAAUAAUAAUGACAAUAAUAACAACCAAAACAAUGACAAUAACAAUAAAAAUAAAAAAAACGCUGAUGGAGAAAAUGAAGACGAUGAUUCAAUAUAUUCUAAUACCUGCAUAUAUAAAUUCAUUUCAUCAAAAAAAAAAAAAUGGCUAAUAGACCCAAAUAUAAGUUUUUAUUCCUGUUUUAACGUUGAAGAUGGUUUUACAAGAAUAAAUAUAGACAAUAUUAUUAACAGUAUGUUUAAUGAUGAUAAAAAAAGAAUAUUUGAGUUAGGUGAUAAUCAGAAAUAUAAAUAUGAUAAUACACAUAGUGAUAGUAAUAAUGACCAUAGUAAUAGCAAUAAUAGUGGUAGUGAAAAUGAAAAUUAUGACAAGAACUAUUAUGGUAGAAACGACAGUAGUUACCAUAGUAUAUAUAAUAGUAACCACACAAAGAAUUAUGCAAGUAAUUACAAUAAUAAUAUUAAUACUAAUAAUGUUAGCAUAGUAUAUAACAACUGUACUACUUGUGAUAGCAGUAACAGUAACAGUAACAGCAGAAGCAACAGUAACAACAACAGUAACGUCAAAAACAAUAAAGAUAGCAAGAGCAGUAAACAUUUAAGCGAUAACAAACAAUUCGAAGAAAAAAGUAAUAAUGAUAUAAACAGCGAAUUGUUAACAAAAACAUUGGAACAUGAAUUUUUUUAUAAAAGCGAAAUAGCUGCCCACAACCACAGUGCUAGUACUAUAUAUAAAGAUGUUAACUCCA
RNAcentral lists this long non-coding RNA (1358 nucleotides) under Piliocolobus tephrosceles (Ugandan red Colobus). RNAcentral's name for it is "lncRNA (ENSPTEG00000017584.1)". Lineage: Eukaryota; Metazoa; Chordata; Mammalia; Primates; Cercopithecidae. The record is from RNAcentral.